RNAcentral lists this ribosomal RNA (253 nucleotides) under uncultured Acidobacteriota bacterium. RNAcentral's name for it is "uncultured Acidobacteria bacterium partial 16S ribosomal RNA". It matches the Rfam family "Bacterial small subunit ribosomal RNA", at positions 524 to 776 of the family's 1533-position model. The record is from RNAcentral. Lineage: Bacteria; Pseudomonadati; Acidobacteriota.
UACGUAGGCAGCGAGCGUUGUUCGGAGUUACUGGGCGUAAAGGGUGUGUAGGCGGCCUUUCAAGUUUGGUGUGAAAUCUCCCGGCUCAACCGGGAGGGUGCGCCGAAAACUGGGGGGCUAGAGUGCGGGAUGGGAGAGUGGAAUUCCUGGUGUAGCGGUGAAAUGCGUAGAUAUCAGGAGGAACACCGGUGGUGCAGACGGCUCUCUGGACCGUAACUGACGCUGAGACACGAAAGCGUGGGUAGCAAACAGG